CCUACGGGAGACAGCAGUGAGGAAUAUUGGUCAAUGGACGAGAGUCUGAACCAGCCAAGUAGCGUGAAGGAUGACUGCCCUAUGGGUUGUAAACUUCUUUUAUAUGGGAAUAAAAUGUUCCACGUGUGGGAUUUUGUAUGUACCAUAUGAAUAAGGAUCGGCUAACUCCGUGCCAGCAGCCGCGGUAAUACGGAGGAUCCGAGCGUUAUCCGGAUUUAUUGGGUUUAAAGGGAGCGUAGGUGGAUUGUUAAGUCAGUUGUGAAAGUUUGCGGCUCAACCGUAAAAUUGCAGUUGAAACUGGCAGUCUUGAGUACAGUAGAGGUGUGCGGAAUUCGUGGUGUAGCGGUGAAAUGCUUAGAUAUCACGAAGAACUCCGAUUGCGAAGGCAGUUCACUGGACUGCAACUGACACUGAGGCUCGAAAGUGUGGGUAUCAAACAGGAUUAGAUACCCGUGUAGUC
Molecule: ribosomal RNA, 460 nt
Filed under: uncultured bacterium
Lineage: Bacteria
Description: partial 16S ribosomal RNA
Rfam family: Bacterial small subunit ribosomal RNA
Source: RNAcentral